This 1574-nucleotide long non-coding RNA is filed under the name Hordeum vulgare. RNAcentral's name for it is "long non-coding RNA (HVUL_LNC018143)". The record is from RNAcentral. Lineage: Eukaryota; Viridiplantae; Streptophyta; Magnoliopsida; Poales; Poaceae.
GGACACUCAAUUCAUUACAAGAGGGAGAGGGGGAAGAACAUCAUAAUAUCCAACUAUAGUAGCAAAGCCCAUGGUACAUCGAGAUCAAGACAUCUCAAGAACACGAGAGAGAGAGAUCAAACACAUAGCUACUGGUACAUACCCUCAGCCCCGAGGGAGAACUACUCCCUCCUCGUCAUGGAGAUCGCCGGGAUGAUGAAGAUGGCCACCGGAGAUGGAUUCCCCCUCCGACAGGCUGCCAGAAUGGGCUCCAGAUUGGUUUUUGCUGGCUACAGAGGCUUGCGGCGGAGGAACUCCCGAUCUAGGUUUCUUUUUGGAGGUUUCUGAAUUUAUAGGAAUUUAUGGCGGUGGAAUUAUGUCGGUUGGGCCCACGAGGAGGUCACAAGCCUGCCCUGCGCCACCUAGGGGGUGGUGGAGGCGUCAGGGCUUGUGACUCCCUCAUGGCUCUUCUAGCCUUCUUCCAAAGCUUCGGGGGUCUCUUUUGGUCCAAAAAAAUCAUCGUAAAGUUUCAUUCCAUUUGGACUCCGUCUAAAAAUGGGCCAAAAACACGGAAAAAACAGAAAGUCGCACUUGGCACUGAGUUAAUAGGUUAGUCCCAAAAAAGAUAUAAAAUAGCAUAUUCAUGCAUAUAAAACAUCCAAAGUUGACAAGAUAACAGCAUGGAACCAUCAAAAAUUAUAGAUACGUUGGAGACGUAUCAACCAACUUAGGCCAAAAGCCUAAGCUUGGGGGAGUACGUGUUUCUCAUUGACUUUACAUUCUUGCUUAUGCUUUCACUUUGUUCGUCGGUGUUCACACUUUGCCAGUGUAUCAUCCAUGCUAGUUUAUUUUCUUUUUCUCGUUUUAUUUUCGUGUGUCUGUCUAGUUUGAGAAAACCCAAAAAGAUUUUCUUUUUCUUCUUUUGCUUGUUGGGAGCUUUCCCGUGUAAAUAGUUUUCUUUUUCUUUGGGUCAAGGUAGAAGAUAAUGGUUACAAUGUUUAGUGGCUCUCGCAUGCAUACCUGUUUAGCUGUCAUAGAGUCAUAUUACUUUGUCUUCUCUUUUGUGUUUGCCUACAGAUUCCAGCUUUAGUCCAAUGCACGAUCACGCUUAUAAUUGUUCACAUCGUUCGGUCGUGCAAGUGAAAAGCUAUAAUGACGAUAUAUGAUGAAGUGACUGAGCCUGGAAAAGCUGGUAUGAACUCGAUCUAUUUUGUUUUUGUAAAUAUAACUAGCUCACUGUUCCUAGUUUAGCUUUGUUGUGAGAGAAACAUGUUUGCAAUGACAACUUAGAGAUCAUAGUUUCUGAUGCAUGCUUAAUUAGCUAGGAGCUUAUAAUGGUUCAUCUUGGUUGCCCACAUGAAUUUUGAGAUGACUAUGAUGUAGUAUGAUAGGAUGGUAUCCUCCUUUGAUUGAUUCAAGUGGCUUGACUUGGCGCAUGUUUACGCAUGUAGUUGAAACAAAAUCAACAUAGCCUCUAUGAUAUUCAUGUUCAUGGUGACUUAUGUCCUACUCAUGCUUGCACUCAAUGUUAGUUAAUCUCAAUGCAUUUUGAUGACUGUUGUCGCUCUCUAGUUGGUCGCUUCCCAGUCUUUUGC